This 467-nucleotide ribosomal RNA is filed under the name uncultured bacterium. Its description in RNAcentral is "bacterial SSU rRNA". It matches the Rfam family "Bacterial small subunit ribosomal RNA", at positions 330 to 795 of the family's 1533-position model. The record is from RNAcentral.
UCCAGACUCCUACGGGAGGCAGCAGUGAGGAAUAUUGGUCAAUGGCCGCAGGGCUGAACCAGCCAAGUCGCGUGAGGGAUGACGGUCCUAUGGAUUGUAAACCUCUUUUGUCAGGGAGCAAAGGGCGCCACGUGUGGCGUUUUGCGAGUACCUGAAGAAAAAGCAUCGGCUAACUCCGUGCCAGCAGCCGCGGUAAUACGUAGGGAGCAAGCGUUAUCCGGAUUUAUUGGGUGUAAAGGGUGCGUAGACGGGAAAUUAAGUUAGUUGUGAAAUCCCUCGGCUCAACUGAGGAACUGCAACUAAAACUGAUUUUCUUGAGUGCAGGAGAGGUAAGUGGAAUUCCUAGUGUAGCGGUGAAAUGCGUAGAUAUUAGGAGGAACACCAGUGGCGAAGGCGACUUACUGGACUGUAACUGACGUUGAGGCACGAAAGUGUGGGGAGCAAACAGGAUUAGAUACCCGGGAUUC